CAAAGGUAGCAUAAUCAUUUGUCUAUUAAUUGUAGACCAGUAUGAAAGGCAACAUGAGGGUCUAACUGUCUCUUAUAAUAAAUCAAUUAAACUGAUCUUCUAGUAAAAAAGCUAGAAUUAUACCAUAAGACCAGAAGACCCUGUGAAGCUUAAACUAAACUAUUAAAACAAAUAAUAGCUAUUUUCGGUUGGGGCGACCUUGGAAAAAAAGAGAACUUCUAAUAUACUAUAACUGAACCGCAUAGGCCUACAAGCCGCACACUAAUGACCCAGCAUGGCUGAUCAUUGAACCAAGUUACUCCAGGGAUAACAGCGCUAUCUUCUUCAAGAGCCCAUAUCAAAAAGAAGGUUUACGACCUCGAUGUUGGAUCAGGACAUCCUAACGGCGCAGCCGCUGUUAAGGGCUCGUUUGUUCAACGAUUAAUAGU
Molecule: ribosomal RNA, 428 nt
Filed under: Oxyrhopus petolarius (forest flame snake)
Lineage: Eukaryota; Metazoa; Chordata; Lepidosauria; Squamata; Dipsadidae
Description: partial 16S ribosomal RNA
Rfam family: Bacterial large subunit ribosomal RNA
Source: RNAcentral